CCUACGGGUGGCUGCAGUGGGGAAUAUUGGGCAAUGGGCGCAAGCCUGACCCAGCAAAGUAGCGUGAAGGAAGAAGGCUCUCGGGUUGUAAACUUCUUUUCUCAGGGACGAAGAAAGUGACGGUACCUGAGGAAUAAGCCACGGCUAACUACGUGCCAGCAGCCGCGGUAAUACGUAGGUGGCAAGCGUUAUCCGGAUUUAUUGGGUGUAAGGGGCGUGUAGGCGGGAGCGCAAGUCAGAUGUGAAAACUCGGGGCUCAACCCUGAGCCUGCAUUUGAAACUGUGUUUCUUGAGUGCUGGGGAGGCAGUCGGAAUUCCGUGUGUAGCGGUGAAAUGCGUAGAUAUACGGAGGAACACCAGUGGCGAAGGCAGAUUGCUGGACUGUAACUGACGCUGAGGCGCGAAAGCGUGGGGAGCAAACAGGAUUAGAUACCCGUGUAGUC
This 443-nucleotide ribosomal RNA is filed under the name uncultured bacterium. Its description in RNAcentral is "partial 16S ribosomal RNA". It matches the Rfam family "Bacterial small subunit ribosomal RNA", at positions 338 to 795 of the family's 1533-position model. The record is from RNAcentral.